UAUGAUUUUUUUUUUUUUUUUUUUUUAACAAAUUACUAUGUCAAAUCUAGCGAAACUUGUAUAUGUACAUACAUAUAUAUGUAUAUAUAUAUAUAUGACAUAAUAGAGGUAAAAAGAAUCGAGUAACAUUCUCUUUAAAAAAAAAAAGCAUUUCAUGAUUCACUUCGAGAAGUUUAUUUUAGCAUGUAAUGAAAUUCAAUCAUAAAAAUCCCAAUUUCUCUAAUAAGAGCAAUAGCAAUAGCAGCAACACCUUGUCAAGCAGGAAGUUCGUUUCAAUGUCUCUUUACUAUUAAAAUCCACGUGCGCUGCAAAAUGAAACGAUUUAACUGAUUUUUAAAAGCUUAAUCUGAGGAGAUCAGAAAGCUAAAAAAAAAAAAAAAAAAAAAAAAAUAAUGGAAACGAAGGAAAUAAGGUUUUCAAGUCAUACAAUCGUGACUUGUAGUAAAUAGACAAACAAUAGAAAGAAGAGAAAAAAUAAAAAAAAAAAAACUAUUCAGCUACACAUAUACAUGCGCAAAAAUAGACAUACUUUUAAGGCGUCCUCGCGGUAUUACAAACUUUCGAUAACACUACUGCCUAUAUGGGAUUUUUAUUGCUUAUAAUAACGAUGGAGCGUCCAUGGGCGUCCAUAUUCGAUAUAUUAAAUCUUGCAAAAGUAUACUACGAAGAGUCUAUGCAUCCUGUAGAGGAGUAGGCAGUACCGAUUCAUGCAGAUUCUGCAAAGGGGCGUGGGAGAUGUCUCAUUAUAUUCCAUGUGAAUGUGAGGCCAUCUUCAGAAUUAGACACCAAGAGUUUGGCGAGCAUUUUAUUACGCUGGACACAAUAUAGUGCUUCGAUCCAAAGAAGUUGGUGGGAUUCUUAAAAUUCCUAAAACUGGAGAGCUAGUGGCAUGGGCGUGUACAAUGGUUCUCAUCGGUCGUGGUGCGUCUUGCCCACGUAAUUAAUUAAUAAUAAUGCAGUAAGUGUCAGGGAACAGAUGUGGCCACGUGUACCCUUCCGUCCAUAUGAUUAUAUCACGUUUCCAUGCACAAAUCAAAAUUAUACAACUUAAAGCUUUCCUAUUGAUCACAAUUUCAACUGACGGCCAUCCGGAUGAACUUGGUUUAAUCAAUUUCACUAUUUAAGCCAAUCAAGAGCAUCUAUAGCCAUAGGUAUUUUAGGCUGAGCAAAACAACGCAGACAGAGGUAAAAAGAGAGGAACGGACGGAUGGACAUUACAAGUGCAUAUUAAACUUGUUCGGAUAUAUGCAACACGCAGAAUGACUUUAAAUAGAUCCACCGGUCGAUUCAGAAACGUAUUCUCUCUGUCUUGUGUUCGACCUACACGACGCUGUUUUUGAGAUAUUUUAAUAAAAUACCGUACACUGACUUGUUUUGACACAAGCAUCAAAACUAUUUUGAAAAGUCGUUAUAUGAAUAAUUGUAGGGUGGUGGUAGGCUAUGGUUCGCUAUAACUAUUUUCCGUUUUUAGGGGUUCGUUCGCCAUGUUACGGAAAAAUUAUAACCGUUUAAUGCAGUUAAUGCCGUACAAUGAUCGAAUUAACAUAUUCCCAUAAUUGGAAAUGCACCCAAGUGCUCUAAAUACUAAAUUUAAUUACGUAUGUGCCUUAACGGGAUACAACACGUGUCGAAGUGUUGAGGUGCUUAAGCAAGUACAAACACAUUUUAUGCGGGAUACUAAAAAGAAGGGCGAAAAAGACAUAUCGUGCUGUAAACAAUUAUUACCAAAAUUUAUAUGCAACCAAAAAAACACUCUCUUCUAUAUGUUAGAUACAUUGCUGCAUAUGUGCAGAGGGGAAGUGAAGUUUUGACAAUAUUAGCUAAUGCACAAGAUAUUCAGUCUCCGUAAGACAAAAGCUCACCCAUUCACUUAAAUAAAUAUCAUCGAGAUUAGUCUACAGAUUUUGCAGACACAAGAAGAAGAAGAAAAGUCAACUAAAUUAAAAAAAAAUAAAAAAUUGGUAAGAUACAUACCAACCUUUUGUAGUCAACCAAUGAAAACAUUUGUUAAAGUCGCAUAACUCUGUCGAUCGUUUCGACUAUGACUUCCCGUAAAUGCGAAAAAUUUGUAUCUAGGGGCAGAAUUUCUUAUGUCAAUCUUGAUGACAACAUUUUAAAAUAAAUUAUGACUUAGCUUUUAAACAAGUAAUGCACAUACACGGAUGCAAAUCACUUCAUAUAUGUUGAAUUAAGAAAAAAGUUCGUGGCGUUUUUUAUAAUGAAUGUUUUUGCGGUUAUUUUGGUAACACUAUUGUAACGGUCCACACUACAAAGCAAGUAAACGAUGAGAUUGUAUAGAAAAUUUGAAAAAGAAGAAACACAUUCAUUAAUUUAAUCGAAAGUAAUUGAGUUUUGAGAAUAAAUAAAAUCGUUUUACUCUGCAAAAUCAUCCUUUCGAUCAUGAUCGCAAAGUUUAUCAAGGCUUGCGAGAAAGUUCGUGGUAGUUACAGUGCAGAUGCUUUAUUAUUGUUAAUGGCAAGGAAAUAUUCUGCUUGCUUCCACUCUAGAAGCUUCGAUGUCAAAGGUUUGCCAUACUCUCACCAAUCGUUCUUCAAAAAGGGAGAUAAAGUCGGUACUUUUCAACUGACGGCCUCAUGUCUGAAUUCUAGAUUGGCUAAAACAUAAUUUUCAACGAUUUGCAUAAAGCUGGAUACAAAAAGUAUUUCGAUAUUUGAACACCACAUGAAUUAAUAAAGACAUGCACGCCUGCAGUGAAAUUACAUUCACCAGCGAAAUGCUGCUGAGAAGAAAUAAAAUCAAGCCAUGUCUGAUGAGAUUGAUAACCGAUAAUGAAAAAUGGAUAAGAUAUGACAAUAAUGUGUGGAAAAUAUCAAAGCUGCACAAACGUCCAAAUUAGCAUCACUUAAGUUAAUGCUGUCAUGUUUCAUGUAAUAUAUCAUUAGUUGCGCACAUCUAGCGAAUCGAGUGAAUUCGUUCCUUACUAUCAACAAGUCAGACGAUGAAAGCACAUAAACGGAGUACAGCAUCGGAAAAAGAUUAAUAGGGAAAGCCUCGCCCGUGAUCGUGACAAUCCCAGACCAAACAUUGGCCCGGCCCAAAAUUGAGAGAAUUUAGCUAAGUAACUCCGAGUUUCUAUAAUGUCCAAAGCAAAAAAAAAUUUCCAUGGUUCACCUCCCCAAGAGUUUAUUUGAUUUUUAAGCUUGAUAAUACUUAACAGCGACUUAACACUCCAAACGAAAGUAUUAGGUCGUAAUCUAAGAAAAAUUGCAUUAAUUAUCGAAUUUUUGCUAAUUUUGCUAAAAUAAUCCUAUGACGUAAAGAACUGAAUUCAGAGAUCGUGAAAAGGGUUAUGCACUUUUUCGAUCUCUUUUGUACCCAGUGAUGGGAGAAACGUAUAAAGUCUCAAUCGUACGCGAAAGGUGAAGUUAGGAAAGCUAAAGCUAAAAUAUACAAUGGGAAGGCGGACUAUAGACUUAACGGACGAAGAAACAUACACACAUGCUGGUGGCCAAAAAUAUCAAAGAGGCGAAGCGGUAAAGAGACACACAUUUUCGAAGGGACGUACAAGUAACGGAGGAAUGCUUGACAGUGCAGUUUAGGAAUUUAUAUUUUUCAAAUUCUUCUUCUUCUUCUUCUUCACUCUAUGUUCAACCAACAUCGAAGGAUGGGGGUAAUUUUCAAUUUGUCAAAAGGUUUCCAACGUUAGCCCAGAAGGAAGCUUCAGGGAACCGGCAGGGUACAUGCACUCUUGAUCAGCAUCAAAUUGUAAAUCAAUUUAAGCACGUCCGUCUAUCCGUCUUGGUCCCGAUGACAGGUAUAAAAGUCUCGUCCCUCACAACCAAAUAUAAUUUUCUUUCUUGUUUUUUUUAAUUUUAAUUUGACAGCCUAAGGAUCCUCUGACAUGGCAAGUGAAAAAAGUAAAUUCACGACAACAAAACCAUCAAAUCAAGUUAAGGACAGAUGCGAAGCAAAUACUCUUAAAGACACCUGGCUAAGUCGAUUGCGCUAGUCAUACUUAGCAAGUAAUAAAAUUUACAUUUUAAGGGCUGCAUUACAGCAAUAAACGUAAAAGUAAACCUUACACAAACCUAUACCAACCUCUGUAAUGAGUAUAAA
Molecule: long non-coding RNA, 4077 nt
Organism: Glossina fuscipes
Lineage: Eukaryota; Metazoa; Arthropoda; Insecta; Diptera; Glossinidae
Exons: 2
Source: RefSeq, a predicted model, not a curated record